RNAcentral lists this long non-coding RNA (1077 nucleotides) under Bos indicus x Bos taurus (hybrid cattle). Its description in RNAcentral is "lncRNA (ENSBIXG00000023281.1)". Lineage: Eukaryota; Metazoa; Chordata; Mammalia; Artiodactyla; Bovidae. The record is from RNAcentral.
AUGGACCUGACAUUCCAGGUUCCUAUGCAAUAUUGCUCUUUACAGCAUCGGACCUUGCUUCUAUCACCAGUCACAUCCACAACUGGGUAUUCUUUAUGCUUUGGCUCCAUCCCUUCAUUCUUUGUGGAGUUAUUUCUCCACCGAUCUCCAGUAGCAUAUUGGGCACCUACUGACCCGGGGAGUUCCUCUUUCAGUAUCCUGUCAUUUUGCCUUUUCAUACUGUUCAUGGGGUUCUCAAGGCAAGAAUUCUGCAAAGAAGUAGAGGAAAACAACAGAAUGGAAAAGACUGGAGAUCUCUUCAAGAAAAUUAGAGAUACCAAGGGAACGUUUAAUGCAAAGAUGCACACAAUAAAGGACAGAAAUGGUAUGGACCUAACAGAAGCAGAAGAUAUUAAGAAGAGGUGGCAAGAAUACACAGAAGAACUAUACAAAAAAGAUCUUCACGACCCAGAUAAUCAUGAUGGUGUGAUCACUCACCUAGAGCCAGACAUCCUGGAGCGUGAAGUCAAGUGGGCCUUAGAAAGCAUCACUACGAACAAAGCUAGUGGAGGUGAUGGAAUUCCAGUUGAGCUAUUUCAAAUCCUGGAGGAGGAUGCUGAGAAAGUGCUGCAGUCAAUAUGCCAGCAAAUUUGGAACACUCAGCAGUGGCCACAGGACUGGAAAAGGUCAGUUUUCAUUCCAAUCCCAAAGAAAGGCAAUGCCAAAGAAUGCUCAAACUACCACACAAUUGCACUCAUCUCACACGCUAGUAAAGUAAUGCUCAAAAUUCUCCAAGCUAGGCUUCAGCAAUACGUGAACCGUGAACUCCCAGAUGUCCAAGCUGGUUUUAGAAAAGGCAAAGGAACCAGAGAUCAAAUUGCCAACUUCUGCUGGAUCAUCGAAAAAGCAAGAGAGUUCCAGAAAAGCGUCUAUUUCUGCUUUAUUGACUAUGCCAAAGCCUUUGACUGUGUGGAUCACAAUAAACUGUGGAAAAUUCUUCAAGAGAUGGGAAUACCAGACCACCUGACCUGCCUCUUGAGAAAUCUGUAUGCAGGUCAGGAAGCAACAGUUAGAACUGGACAUGGAACAACAGACAGG